Molecule: non-coding RNA, 260 nt
Filed under: Synergistes sp.
Lineage: Bacteria; Thermotogati; Synergistota; Synergistia; Synergistales; Synergistaceae
Source: RNAcentral
GUUAGCAAUAUUUACCACAGUACAACUGAAUAAUUUCCACGGAGUAUGGGAAUCCGGUCAAAUACCGGAACGGCCCCUGCCACCGUAAUCGGGACGAACCCGCAUCAAGCCAUUGCCGAAAGGCGAGAAGGCGCGGGAUAAGCAGAUAGCCAGAUCCGCCGCUUUAGCGGAUCUGUGCGGAUUGCUUAUACGGAGCAAAGUUUUACGCUCCGCAGAGGAUGAACGAAAGUCGGGAAACCUGCCGAGGAGAGAUUAUGGCU